This 75-nucleotide transfer RNA is filed under the name Minisyncoccota bacterium. RNAcentral describes it as "tRNA-Glu". It matches the Rfam family "tRNA". From Rfam's summary of the family: Transfer RNA (tRNA) molecules are approximately 80 nucleotides in length. Lineage: Bacteria; Bacillati; Minisyncoccota. The record is from RNAcentral.
GGCCUCAUCGUCUAACGGUUAGGACAGUGCCCUUUCACGGCAUAAAUUCGGGUUCGAUUCCCGAUGAGGUCACCA